This 89-nucleotide transfer RNA is filed under the name Candidatus Symbiobacter mobilis CR. RNAcentral's name for it is "tRNA-Leu (TAA) (tRNA-Leu-TAA-1-1)". It matches the Rfam family "tRNA". Rfam says of the family: Transfer RNA (tRNA) molecules are approximately 80 nucleotides in length. Their secondary structure includes four short double-helical elements and three loops (D, anti-codon, and T loops). Lineage: Bacteria; Pseudomonadati; Pseudomonadota; Betaproteobacteria; Burkholderiales; Comamonadaceae. The record is from RNAcentral.
GCCCGGGUGGUGGAACAGGUAGACACAGCAGACUUAAAAUCUGCCGCCCCGAAACGGGCGUACCGGUUCGAUUCCGGUUCCGGGCACCA